RNAcentral lists this ribosomal RNA (497 nucleotides) under uncultured bacterium. Its description in RNAcentral is "partial 16S ribosomal RNA". It matches the Rfam family "Bacterial small subunit ribosomal RNA", at positions 28 to 507 of the family's 1533-position model. The record is from RNAcentral.
GAUGAACGCUGGCGGCGUGCCUAAUACAUGCAAGUCGAGCGAACAGACGAGGAGCUUGCUCCUCUGACGUUAGCGGCGGACGGGUGAGUAACACGUGGAUAACCUACCUAUAAGACUGGGAUAACUUCGGGAAACCGGAGCUAAUGCCGGAUAAUAUAUUGAACCGCAUGGUUCAAUAGUGAAAGACGGUUUUGCUGUCACUUAUAGAUGGAUCCGUGCCGCAUUAGCUAGUUGGUAAGGUAACGGCUUACCAAGGCAACGAUGCGUAGCCGACCUGAGAGGGUGAUCAGCCACACUGGAACUGAGACACGGUCCAGACUCCUACGGGAGGCAGCAGUAGGGAAUCUUCCGCAAUGGGCGAAAGCUUGACGGAGCAACGCCGCGUGAGUGAUGAAGGUCUUCGGAUCGUAAAACUCUGUUAUUAGGGAAGAACAAAUGUGUAAGUAACUAUGCACGUCUUGACGGUACCUAAUCAGAAAGCCACGGCUAACUACGUG